Molecule: ribosomal RNA, 70 nt
Filed under: Priestia megaterium
Lineage: Bacteria; Bacillati; Bacillota; Bacilli; Caryophanales; Bacillaceae
Description: Bacillus megaterium partial 23S ribosomal RNA
Source: RNAcentral
GGCAAAUGAUACCGGGGCUAAACGUAUCACCGAAGCUGUGGAUUGACAUCUUUGAUGUCAGUGGUAGGAG